UAAGGAAUAUUGGUCAAUGGACGCAAGUCUGAACCAGCCAUGCCGCGUGAAGGAUGAAGGUCCUCUGGAUUGUAAACUUCUUUUAUCUGGGACGAAAACGGGAUUUUUAUCUCAAUUGACGGUACCAGAGGAAUAAGCACCGGCUAACUCCGUGCCAGCAGCCGCGGUAAUACGGAGGGUGCGAGCGUUAUCCGGAUUUACUGGGUUUAAAGGGUGCGUAGGUGGGCUUAUAAGUCAGUGUGAAAUCUCCGAGCUUAACUUGGAAACUGCCGUUGAUACUAUAGGUCUUGAAUUCUCUUGAGGUAAGCGGAAUAUGUCAUGUAGCGGUGAAAUGCUUAGAUAUGACAUAGAACACCAAUUGCGAAGGCAGCUUACUACAUAUAAAUUGACGCUGAGGCACGAAAGCGUGGGGAUCAAACA
Molecule: ribosomal RNA, 420 nt
Filed under: uncultured bacterium
Lineage: Bacteria
Description: bacterial SSU rRNA
Rfam family: Bacterial small subunit ribosomal RNA
Source: RNAcentral